GUGAGGAAUAUUGGGCAAUGGAGGCAACUCUGACCCAGCCAUGCCGCGUGCAGGAAGACGGUCCUAUGGAUUGUAAACUGCUUUUAUACGGGAAGAAACACCCCCUCGUGAGGGGACUUGACGGUACCGUAAGAAUAAGGAUCGGCUAACUCCGUGCCAGCAGCCGCGGUAAUACGGAGGAUCCAAGCGUUAUCCGGAAUCAUUGGGUUUAAAGGGUCCGUAGGCGGCCUUAUAAGUCAGUGGUGAAAUCUCCUAGCUCAACUAGGAAACUGCCAUUGAUACUGUAGGGCUUGAAUUAUUGUGAAGUAACUAGAAUAUGUAGUGUAGCGGUGAAAUGCUUAGAUAUUACAUGGAAUACCAAUUGCGAAGGCAGGUUACUAACAAUAUAUUGACGCUGAUGGACGAAAGCGUGGGUAGCGAACAGGAUUAGAUACCCUUGUAGUCC
RNAcentral lists this ribosomal RNA (445 nucleotides) under uncultured bacterium. RNAcentral's name for it is "partial 16S ribosomal RNA". It matches the Rfam family "Bacterial small subunit ribosomal RNA", at positions 354 to 796 of the family's 1533-position model. The record is from RNAcentral.